RNAcentral lists this long non-coding RNA (1112 nucleotides) under Vigna radiata. RNAcentral's name for it is "long non-coding RNA (VRAD_LNC004701)". Lineage: Eukaryota; Viridiplantae; Streptophyta; Magnoliopsida; Fabales; Fabaceae. The record is from RNAcentral.
AAAAAGCGGUCCAGUAGGCUUUCACACCAGGCUACACUCCACAUUACACGUCCUUCCACAUUAGACGACCCAAAAAAAAAAACGAGAAUAGGGCAUUCAUCUUUGAUUUUAGGAGGCAGCUGCCGCCACCUAGGAGAGGACUCACUCAUUCUUCAUUUUUAGAAGCACAUGGUUGCAUCACAAUGUAGGGAUUUUGGUUGAAGGGAGUGGUGUCUCGGCCUGGUUUGGAAACACACAGCACAUGCACAAGGAGGUCACGACCAGCAAGAAGAAGUAGCUGCAUUUCAUUUUCAAUUCUUUAAGAAGAAGUAGCUGCACGGUUAUAAUUCUAUUAUAUGAAGAAAUGUUGAUUUAGGUGCUUUCACAAGUGUACACGGCUGGUGAUUUAAUUAUUUGGAGAAACAUGUUUUGUUUUCUUUCUAGAAAAAGACGCUAGUUUUUGUUUUGCUAUAGGAAAAAGAAGUGCUGAUUAACAUUUUUAAGUGGUGUCACGAUAAAAUGUAGCACCAGGAGAUUUAAUUUUAUUUUUAUUUGGAAUUUGCAUUCUGCAUUGAAGUCACUCUCUUAGCUAUAUUAUGCCAUUCACAUUUCAUGCUUUUGAUUUAGAUUGUAGCGCAUUUUAUGUUUAUCAAUGUGCUCUUUUUUUUUUAUUCAAUGUGCAUUUAACUUUUAAGCUCGCAUUUGGAUAUCUAUCUAUUGUAUUAUUUGGCUUACUGUUUUUGUUCACUAUGCUGUCUGGUAUGUUUGGUAGUGAUAAUUUAGCUCUGAUGAUAGCUUAGGUUAGUUGGUUGGUCGUUAACAAAAUUACAAUGUUUCCUUGAGAUUUCUUGGACUGUUCUUGUGUUUAUUCUGCUUUGCCUGACUAACUAUGAAAUCUGAUUAUGUUCUUGCAAUGGGAAUACGCUUAGUUACCCAAUUGGUGAUUGUAUCUUCGCUUAGUUGAUUGAUCUGUAUAGAACACAUUAGAUGGAAUAGGUGUAUUGCGUUCGCUUAAUUCGUGAUUAUGAUAGCAUGGUUGACCUUCGCUUAGUCGGUUAGCUAUGUUGGAUUAAAAGCUAGAGCAGUUUAUUCAUGACACUCGUGCACUUUUAUUGCCAUGCUACUGCUCUGAU